CUGGCGGCGUGCUUAACACAUGCAAGUCGAACGCGAAAGGGACUUCGGUCCUGAGUAAAGUGGCGCACGGGUGAGUAACGCGUAGAUAACCUGUCUUCAUGUCUGGAAUAAUACGCCGAAAGGGGUACUAAUACCGGAUAUUCUUGCUUUUCAUAAGUUAUGCAAGCAAAGGUGGCCUCUGCAUAUGCUACUGCAUGAAGAGGGGUCUGCGUACCAUUAGCUAGUAGGUGGGGUAAUGGCCUACCUAGGCGACGAUGGUUAGCGGGUCUGAGAGGAUGAUCCGCCACACUGGCACUGGAACACGGGCCAGACUCCUACGGGAGGCAGCAGUGAGGAAUAUUGCGCAAUGGGGGAAACCCUGACGCAGCGACGCCGCGUGAGUGAGGAAGGCCUUCGGGUCGUAAAGCUCUGUCAAGAGGAAAGAAGUGUACAAUGGCUAAUACCUGUUGUAUUUGACGGUACCUCUAAAGGAAGCACCGGCUAACUCCGUGCCAGCCGCUGC
RNAcentral lists this ribosomal RNA (502 nucleotides) under uncultured bacterium. RNAcentral's name for it is "bacterial SSU rRNA". It matches the Rfam family "Bacterial small subunit ribosomal RNA", at positions 36 to 518 of the family's 1533-position model. The record is from RNAcentral.